Molecule: long non-coding RNA, 743 nt
Organism: Echinops telfairi (small Madagascar hedgehog)
Lineage: Eukaryota; Metazoa; Chordata; Mammalia; Afrosoricida; Tenrecidae
Exons: 4
Source: RefSeq, a predicted model, not a curated record
ACAUUAAGCUAGAAAUUGCAUGAUAGUAUUUUGCAAGAUUAAUGACUUCUUUGUUGUAAUGUAAAUUGUGACUAUACAAGUGAACCUCACCUGAUGGAAAAAUAAGAAUCAGAUUGACUGCAUUCAUGGAAAGAGACAAUGGAGAAGCUCAAUAUCAUCAGCCAAAGCAAGGAUGGGGAAAAAUGUGGAGCUGGCCAUCAAGUGCACAUAAAUUGGUGAGUUGCAUAAAUUGGGAAGGUAAUGAUCACAAUGCCAUUAUGGGAAUGGUUGAAGAAAUACUGGAAAGGAGAUAGCUAUUUCUAUGUGGUUCUGGAUGGAACUGCUCCGAGUACUCGCCAAUUAAUUCACUUUCAUCAGCCUGAGAAAACAACCUCAAAAUUUGAUGCCAGACAGUAGGUGAUUUGCUUUAUCAAAUACCUAAAAUAUAGAAUGGAAUACCUCUAGGAACAAGCUGAUGAAACACUAGAAGAACUCACUCAUCUAUGUCAAUAAAUUUGGAAGACAGCUGCUUGGCUAAUCUGCUGGAAGAGAUCAAUAUUUGUACCGAUUCCAAAUAAGGGUUUGCCAAACUGCUCAAAUUAUCAAUCAAUAUUAUUAUCACAUGCAAGUAAAUUUUUGCUAAAGAUCAUCCAACAAUAGUUGCAGCAGUACAUUGACAAUGAGUUGCCAGAGGUUCCGGCUAGAUUCAGAUGAGGAGGUGAAGCAAGGGAUAACAUUGCUGAUGUCAGAUGGCUCUUGGCUGA